RNAcentral lists this ribosomal RNA (301 nucleotides) under uncultured bacterium. Its description in RNAcentral is "partial 16S ribosomal RNA". It matches the Rfam family "Bacterial small subunit ribosomal RNA", at positions 509 to 807 of the family's 1533-position model. The record is from RNAcentral.
CAGUAGCCACGGUAAUACAGAGGGUGCGAGCGUUAAUCGGAUUUACUGGGCGUAAAGCGUGCGUAGGCGGCUUUUUAAGUCGGAUGUGAAAUCCCUGAGCUUAACUUAGAAAUUGCAUUCGAUACUGGGAAGCUAGAGUAUGGGAGAGGAUGGUAGAAUUCCAGGUGUAGCGGUGAAAUGCGUAGAGAUCUGGAGGAAUACCGAUGGCGAAGGCAGCCAUCUGGCCUAAUACUGACGCUCAUGCACGAAAGCGUGGGGAGCAAACAGGAUUAGAUACCCCGGUAGUCCCUGUCUCUUAUAC